This 707-nucleotide ribosomal RNA is filed under the name uncultured bacterium. RNAcentral describes it as "bacterial SSU rRNA". It matches the Rfam family "Bacterial small subunit ribosomal RNA", at positions 141 to 844 of the family's 1533-position model. The record is from RNAcentral.
GGACAACCCGCCGAAAGGCGGGCUAAACCCGCGUACAUGCCACCGGGGCAUCCCGGAGGCAGGAAAGGCUUCGGCCGGACAGGGAUGGGCAUGCGGCGCAUUAGGCAGUAGGCGGGGUAACGGCCCACCUAACCGACGAUGCGUAGGGGUUCUGAGAGGAAGGUCCCCCACACUGGUACUGAGACACGGACCAGACUCCUACGGGAGGCAGCAGUGAGGAAUAUUGGUCAAUGGUCGGGAGACUGAACCAGCCAAGCCGCGUGAGGGAUGAAGGUACAGAGUAUCGUAAACCUCUUUUGUCAGGGAACAAAGGCGGGGACGUGUCCCCGGAUGAGUGUACCUGAAGAAAAAGCAUCGGCUAACUCCGUGCCAGCAGCCGCGGUAAUACGGAGGAUGCGAGCGUUAUCCGGAUUUAUUGGGUUUAAAGGGUGCGCAGGCGGUCUGUUAAGUCAGCGGUCAAAGCCCGGGGCUCAACCCCGGCCCGCCGUUGAAACUGGCAGUCUCGAGUUGGAGAGAAGUAUGCGGAAUGCGCGGUGUAGCGGUGAAAUGCAUAGAUAUCGCGCAGAACUCCGAUUGCGAAGGCAGCAUGCCGGCUCCACACUGACGCUGAGGCACGAAAGUGUGGGUAUCGAACAGGAUUAGAUACCCUGGUAGUCCACGCAGUAAACGAUGAAUGCUGGCUGUCCGGGGGGGAUUGACCCCUGGGU